GCUGCUCUUAACAAACGCCGCACAUAUACCGGCACAUUCACCUGGGUGUCUUUGAGUGACCUAACGUGCUCUCAAGGAUUGGUAAAUGGGGUAUAUGGAGGAUAAAA
Molecule: small RNA, 107 nt
Filed under: Microbulbifer agarilyticus
Lineage: Bacteria; Pseudomonadati; Pseudomonadota; Gammaproteobacteria; Cellvibrionales; Microbulbiferaceae
Description: t44 RNA
Rfam family: t44 RNA
About the family: This family consists of a number of bacterial RNA genes of between 135 and 170 bases in length.
Source: Rfam by way of RNAcentral